ACAGAUAAAAAGCUGUUUUGUUAGUUAAUUCUGAAGCGGUCCCUCUGUUUUCUUUCCUUUGUAUAGAGCCCCAACUAGUGGAAGGCUGGAGAACUGCAUGCGAAGAGAACCCUUUUGCCUGGGAGACACCCACCAGUCUUUCCCGCAGGCUUAGUACAGGUGUAACUAUAACCAAAGCAGCUGGAAACAGAGCCAGAGGUGGGCGUGGUGAAGCAGAUUCUGAAACUGGGUGUACCUCAAGCUUGAAAGUGAUUGAUCGGCAGCAAAAUGGUGCAACACAGAUGUCAUUGAAUUUCUCCAAAUUAAAUGAGCUUCUGGUACAACUCCGUGGCUACCAGGAGAAUAAGGCAGGCUCAAAACCAUGUCAUGUAACUCAAAAAAUUAGAGAUACUGAGUCUUAGAGCAAUAUAAUCAUGGAAAACCCUGUAACUUACUUUAACAUAUUUGGAGGACUAUCCAGUGAAAGAGGAAUUAGAACAGAGAUGGUCAUUCUCAAACAACAAUUACCAGUUGUUACCAUGACUGUCUGGAGCUCUAUAUUGAAAAGAAUGUGAGACAACAUCCAAGGUCAAUGAGAAGGAAUUGUACUUGACAGUGAUGUCCAUCCAACGCUUGAAAGAAAGCCAGUGCCCAGGUGUUGCAUGUGAUGGAAACAGAAUGCCUAUAGUUGACAUAGAAUGAGAACUUGAAAUUCUUGGAGAAUUCUUGAAGAACUUGGAAUUCACAUGAGGUUGGGAAUGCUGUUUUCUGUCAUUACACUGAGAAGUCUAACAAGUCAGUCUGGAAAGAGAGAAUGGGAGAGAGAAGAAUAGAGCAUAUUUUCAGAGAUAAGAAAACUUACCACUCUUAAGAGUCUCCUCCCUCACUCCUGGUAAGUUUCCACUUAUCAUUCAUUCCCUCAUAAAGAAAUCAGUGCAUGUUUGCAGUAAAUUUCCCUUUUUGGCUUUUGCUAAUCAUGUAGGUUUCUGGCUUUUGCAAUCAAACACUCCCUACAGGCUUAUGUCUCAGUGGGGGCAUAUUUCCAUCCCAUUUAAUUCAAUUGAACCAAUGUUUAUUGAAUGCCUGCUAUGCUCCUUGUGUUCAAUAAUUUGGGUCAAGUUAUGAGCCUGGC
This 1111-nucleotide long non-coding RNA is filed under the name Mustela putorius furo (domestic ferret). Its description in RNAcentral is "lncRNA (ENSMPUG00000026250.1)". Lineage: Eukaryota; Metazoa; Chordata; Mammalia; Carnivora; Mustelidae. The record is from RNAcentral.